AUAGUUUAAGAAAGUUAUUAAAACUUUAAAAACUUUAACCACAGAGUGAAUGUAAUGUUUCCCCGCAGAAAAAACUAAGUCCAUUUAUAAGUAAAAUACAGAAAAAAUGGAAUUUUAUUUUUACAAAAUUUACUUCUGGAUACUAUCUUAUGAUCAUAAACAAGCUUCUGUCCAAGUUUGGUAGAAAUCCAGUAUAGUUUAAGAAAGUUAUUAAAAUUUCAAAAACUUUAACCACAGAGUGAAUAUUUGUGAACGACGCCGACGACGAC
This 269-nucleotide long non-coding RNA is filed under the name Mytilus galloprovincialis (Mediterranean mussel). The record is from RNAcentral. Lineage: Eukaryota; Metazoa; Mollusca; Bivalvia; Mytilida; Mytilidae.